CAGGCCCUUUAAGUGGAAAGAAUAUUCUGUCUUGUAGUGUUUAGCUGGGAAUAUUUUAUUCAUUUUUAUCAAGGCCCUUAGAUAAUGACUCAAAUGAAUGGACUGCUGAACUCUGGAGUGGAGACUAGACCACGAAGGUAGAACUUGCAAAGGAAGUGGCUGAAGACUGCUUUUGUGACUUUUGUCUGCUCAUCCACCGCAGGACAGACACAAAGGACAGGCCCAGGGAUUGGAGGAUUCCUAAGUGAAGCGGUCUCUAUGCUGAGCUCUCCCUCUCCUCAAUAUUUUACGGCGCUGCUUGGUGGAUGUGAAUGGACUCUGCACUGUACGUGGGCGUGGACUCCGAGCAGAAGCAGGGGGGUGUUCUCGGGACCCUUGUGGCUGGCCAGUUGUCCUGUCAAAGCAGCUUCUUGCUCCCCAGGGGCCAGAUGCUUGGGAUUCCAAUCAGUGGAUUUAAAUGAAGAAGCUGAGGCUGGGUGCGGUGGCUCACGUCUGUGAUCCCAGCACUUUGGGAGGCUGAGGCGGCAA
Long non-coding RNA from Homo sapiens (human), 528 nucleotides. RefSeq lists it as uncharacterized. The record is from RefSeq and is a predicted model, not a curated record. The transcript is spliced from 3 exons. Lineage: Eukaryota; Metazoa; Chordata; Mammalia; Primates; Hominidae.